Molecule: ribosomal RNA, 115 nt
Filed under: Danio rerio (zebrafish)
Lineage: Eukaryota; Metazoa; Chordata; Actinopteri; Cypriniformes; Danionidae
Source: RNAcentral
GUUGGCAGCUAGCUCUCUGCAACUCUCACAUGGUCGUCAACUAAAGCUAAGCAGGGCUGCGCCCGGUCAGUACCUGAAUGGGAGACCACAUGGGAAAGCUAGGUUGCUGCCGGAA